GUCGUAGGCGCCGAACUUGCCUCCCUCUAACCCCCACUCUGCAUAAACCUGGCAAAUCCAGCCCUACCUGGUGUUAUUAGGACCAGGCACCUGGGAACCAGAGGCUCAGAAAUGGAUAAGACUGCACUGAAGACAAACUCUGCCCCCACCCCAAGGUGAGCAGCAUGUCCCAGAUCAAGGCUCUCCUAGAGUUUGAGUCCUGGAGUGAAAAAAUGAGUAACAGCCACAUGCACAGCCAUUGAGGUUUUAGGAAUCAUUUUGUAUCACAGCAUAACUGUAAAUGUCCGUGAAAUCCUUCAUGGACAUGAAGACUGGGAAGUGGGUGCCUGUUGAACCAUAAAUGUCUGUCACUCUAUGUCCACACAACACCACUCAUGGAGGACUGCCACUGGAGGAUCUGGCUCAAGGAGGGGAGGGGCCCUCAUCUUAUUUCAUAUUAUCAGACUUCUACCACCAUUACUCCAUCGUACCCAGCCAGCCUGUGACUGGAUGAGCUGGCACACCAACUUCUCAUUUUGGGCUAAAAUGUAGAGACAUUUCAUGUGGAAAAAAGGGUACCCUCUUACACUGUUGGUGGGAAUGGAUAUUGGUGCAACCACUAUGAAGAAAAGUAUGGAGGUUCCUUAAAAAACUAAAUAUAGAGUUACCAUAUUAUCCAGCAGUCCCACUCCUGUGCCUGUAUACAGAAAAAACCGUAAUUGGAAAAGAUACAUGCACCCCAAUGUUCACUGCGUCACUGUUCACAAUAGUCAAGACAUGGAAGCAACCUAAAUGUCCAACGACAGAGGAGUGACUAAAGAAGAUGUGGUACAUAUAUAGAAUGGAAUAUUACUCAGCCAUUAAAAAAGAAUGAAACAAUGCCAUUUGCAGCAACAUGGAUGGACCAAGAGAUUAUCAUACUAAGUGAAGGAAAUCAGAGAAAGACCAGUAUCAUAUGAGAUCACUUAUAUGUGGACUCCAAUAAAAGAUGAUACAAAAGAAUUUAUUUAUAAAACAAAAACUCACAGAUUUCAAAAUUAAACUUAUGGCUACCAAAGGACAAAGAUGGGAGGAGGAUCACUUAGGAGGUUGGGAUUAACAUAUAUACACUACUAUGUCUAGGAUAAUCAACAAGGACUUACUAUAUAGCACAGGGAAAUCUACUCAAUAUUCUUUAAUAACCUAUAUAGGAAAAUAAUCUGAAAAAGAAUGGAUGUAUGCACAUAUAUAACUGAAUCACUGCUGUAUGCCUAAAAUUAACACUGUAACUCAACUAUAUUCCAAUAAUUUUUUUUCUAAUUGAGACCCUUGAGACAGUCCAAUUGAAGAGGGGAGAGUUCAGCUGAAAGGAAUAGUCAGGGCCUUUGUCCUAGUCUGUUCAGGCAACUGUAACAAAAUACCAGGAUGGGAGUUUAUAAAUGACAGAAAUAUAUUUCUCGCAGUUCUGGAGGUCAGAAGUCCAAGAUCACAGUGCCAGCAUGGUUCUGUUCUGAUGAGGGCCCUCUUCCAGCCUCAGAUCUCUUAUUGUGUCCUCACCUGGCGGAAGUGGCUCAGGAGCUCUGCAAGGUCUCUGUUGUAAGAGUACUAAUCCCUGGAGCUCCUGCUGUGGUGCAGCAGGUUAAGGAUCCAGCGUUGCCACAGCUGCAGCUCAGAUUUGCACUCUGGCCUGGAGAACUUCCAUAUGCUGCAGGCGUGCCCCCCCCCCCAAAAAAAAGAGAGCACUAAUCCCACCCUCAUGAACUAAACACCUCCCAAAGACCCCACCUCCUGAUACCAUCACA
Molecule: long non-coding RNA, 1760 nt
Filed under: Sus scrofa (pig)
Lineage: Eukaryota; Metazoa; Chordata; Mammalia; Artiodactyla; Suidae
Description: lncRNA (ENSSSCG00060052081.1)
Source: RNAcentral